GGCGAACGGGUGAGUAACACGUAGGUAAUCUGCCUCAGAGAUUGGGAUAACUCGGCGAAAGCCGGACUAAUACCAAAUAAUGCAACGACUUCUCCGGGAGAUGUUGUUAAAGUGGGCUUCGGCUCACACUUUGAGAUGAGCCUGCGUCCGAUUAGCUUGUUGGUGAGGUAAUGGCUUACCAAGGCGAUGAUCGGUAGCUGGUCUGAGAGGACGAUCAGCCACACUGGAAUUGAGAUACGGUCCAGACUCCUACGGGAGGCAGCAGUGGGGAAUUUUGCGCAAUGGGCGAAAGCCUGACGCAGCAACGCCGCGUGAUCGAUGAAGCUCUUCGGAGUGUAAAGAUCUGUCAUAAGGGAAGAACAACUUUAAUAUAAAUAAUAUUAGAAUUUGACGGUACCUUAUAAGAAAGCACCGGCUAACUUAGUGCCAGCAGCCGCGGUAAUACUAGGGGUGCAAGCGUUGUCCGGAUUCAUUGGGCGUAAGGGUGCGUAGGCGUCCGGGAAAGUUAUUUGUUAAAUCCUUCGGGCUUAACCGAAGAAAUGCACGUAAAACUAACCGGAUAGAGUUUAAGAGAGGAAAGUGGAAUUCCUGGUGUAACGUGACAUGCCUAGAUAUCAAGAGAACGUCAAUGGCGAACGCAGCUUUCUGGCUUACACUGAAGCUGAGGCACAAAAGCAUGGGUAGCACACGGGUUAGAUAACCUGCUAAUCCAUG
RNAcentral lists this ribosomal RNA (714 nucleotides) under uncultured bacterium. RNAcentral's name for it is "bacterial SSU rRNA". It matches the Rfam family "Bacterial small subunit ribosomal RNA", at positions 97 to 799 of the family's 1533-position model. The record is from RNAcentral.